UCUGGGAGAGAGGUCAUGUGAGAGGCGCGCAGGGAUCACGUGAUAGGACCGCUUCCUGGAGCCAGACUGCACAUGCGCCCUGAAGUCCGAGUGACAGCUUCCCCAGGCCGGUGGGUGCGGCCCGCGUGAGUUUCAGGAUCUGAAACCAUGGGCAGAAGCACAAAUGGGGAGUCGACUCUCUUUCAUCUCAACCAUUUGCAGAAGUAUCAUUAUCUCUGGUGGGAAACGGAGUCUCCAAGAGGUUCAAGUGACUCUCCCUGGGUGAGCACAUCAAAGUUCUUCCGGUCCCUAACCUUUAAUUAGACACUUUUCUGAAGCGUGAAGCUGGGCUAUACUUGUCAGAACAGACACCAGAGGAGCACCUGGGUGGCUCAGUCAUUAGGUGUCUGCCUUUGGCUCCAGUUGUGAUCCUGGGGUCCUGGGAUUGAGCCCUGCAUCAGGCUCCCUGCUAAGCAGGGAGCCUGCUUCUCCCCCUCCCUCUGCCACUCCCCCUCCUUGUGUUCCCUCUCUCGCCAUCUCUCUGUCAAAUAAAUAAAUAAUUUUUUAAAAAGAACAUAAACAAUCUUUUUGUGAUACUUGUCUAAGUCCAGGAACUUCAGUAUA
Long non-coding RNA from Mustela lutreola (European mink), 603 nucleotides. RefSeq lists it as uncharacterized. The record is from RefSeq and is a predicted model, not a curated record. The transcript is spliced from 3 exons. NCBI's taxonomy places the organism in Eukaryota, Metazoa, Chordata, Mammalia, Carnivora, Mustelidae.